GGGUGCGCGCGAGUUCUGUCGCGCUCCAUUUCCGCACAUCUAAUGGCUGCGGGUUGGGACCCCCUUCCCCAGCUGCUCCCUACACCCGAGCUCCCCGGACGUGCUUCCUCGUCCCGAGCUGUUUCUAAGGAGAAGGGAGAAGGAGGGGCCCGGAGCGGUCCCGUGGCCUCCGGCUCAGCACGUCCCAGCUUGGUGCCCGGACCAGGGUCAGAAAGCAGCCCAACAUUCACACCGCGGACAUCCGCCUUCAGAGGGAAAAGGUGGUGCUGAAGUCACCGCCCCGGGGACACCCCGCACCAUCCUGUCUUCUCCUUGCCCCGUGACACUCGGCUGAGCCCCACGGCGGGUGCUGGACGCAGGGUCCCUCGAUCCACCAGAGUCGCAGUGGAAACCACCUUCGUGUUGUCCACAGCAUUCCGGCGACACCAGACAAGCAAAGGCACUGUGGCCGGAUCAGCCUAUGCCCAAAACGCAGCUCUGUAAUGAAGAUCCUGAAUUCCAAAUGUUUCUAUUCAAGAGACAGACGCUUUGAGGAUAGCAAGUUUGCUUUUAUUCCUGAGUUUGAGGUGACGCCAGAAAAAUGAAAGGAAGCGUCCCCAGACGAGCGGUCAGGACCUUACAUUCAUUUUCAGGAUCUCCCACGUGGAGCCAGAGGCUGAUUUGGACGGGGUCCCCGAGGAAGAGCCCACAGAGGACCUAGGGGGAACCUGAAGGCAAGUCCGCACACAGGUUGGUAGGAGGAAAGACAUUCAGCAAAAGAAACUACGAAAAGAAACCAAUCGCACAAAAGAAGCAAAGGCUCCAGGAUUUCGCGAGAGGGAGAGACUGACACAGCCACACUCAGAGGCGGGAGUGGGUGGCGGCAAUGGUCGCCAGAUCCGCCCCCGGAGACGUGCCGAGGACAGAAGCAGACUGUGAUGAGUCCAGCACCUAAGAGGUAAAGGAAAAGAAAAGCGAGGUUUCAAACACCGACCACCCCGCAGACACAGCACACGGAAGAGGGAAGGCCAAGAGCCGGGUGGGGACGACGGGGUCAGAGCAGAGGGGACCUCCCGGAGUGGUUUGUGGAAUCAAGAGGGCAGAGCUGGGGGGAGCGAGAGUCUGGAGACUCUAGGAAGAAAGAGACUAACGGAAGCACCUGCCCAGGGGGGUGACAAAGGAGGCAGCCAGCUGCACCGGGAAGGACAGAGCGCGGAGACGAGGGGCGCGGAGACGAGGGCCGCGGGACGGCAGCGCCACUGUGAUGGGGCACGGAGCAAACGGGAGCUCCUGGCAGUUUUCUCAGCACGACAGGGGACAAAAAACUGGGAAGCCGUGGGCGAGGUGGUCUAGGAGGCUGGAGCAGAACGGAGUGAAUGCUGGGGCUGGGGGGCGCCGGGGGAAAGAGGUGACCCCAGUUGGGCAAAUGCCAGCGGAAGCCCUGGUGGCGGGAGGGGCCCCCGUGCCGCUGUGACUCUGCCGGGCGUCCUUUGCAGCCCGGGGCCAGAGAUGGGCUUCGAGGUGGUGAGGGACCUGGGACCGUAUGGAGUGGCACCCACCGGGGCCUCAGUGACCGCUGGAUUCGUGGGACAGUGGGCGGGGGGAGAAGGUUGCUUCCGUUUGCAAGAUGCUCGCAGCUGCUGGACAUUCUAGAAAACUCCGUUGGGUGGCGGCCUCUGUAUACUCCCUUCCUCCCGCGGCUUGGCGCUCUCGACCGUCUCUGGGAUGGUUUCCCGGCCUCCUUCCCGUCUCCCCCAGGCGCAGACGCCAGCUCGCGGCCCAGCUCUCACCGUACUGCAGGGCUGUUUCCACCCUGGCGCUCCUUCCCUCUCCCGCCCUCAGCCAUCCCCUCCACGGAGGCCUGAACUUGGUCUUCCCCUGAAUCCCCGGGUCUGGAACGUUGGAUCCCCAAACACAGCGGCGUCAUCGAAUGAAUCGCGCUGCGUUUAUUGCUCGGAGGUUCAGGAAGUACCUUCAUCCGCCGCAGAGAGAUAAAGAUCAGAGGGUCUGAGCGCACCCCUUCGUUGUGCGGACGAAGAAGCCGAAGCCCGAAGAGGCCGCCUUUGUUUCUUCUCUCUCACGGCCUCCCAGCGCCGGGUGUCACGUUCCGUGUCUCUGCUGCUUCUAACCGGGGACUGUUCCCUUCGGCACGUGGCGGAGUGCGGUGGGAAUCUGAACAGGCUUGGGCAGGACCACCGGCGCUGGUGGGGGGGGGCGGGGAGACAGUGCCGGAACCACGAGCCAGAAAGGCCGCUUGAGGCGCAAAACCGCCCCAGAGGCAGAUGGAAGAAGGACCAGCUAGACGCGGCCGUGUGCACACGAGGGACCCGAUGGGAAGGUGGCAGCCGCCCUGGGGUGUCAGAGUCCCAGAGGGAUAAGCCGCUUGUCUGUGCGUGUCACGGUUAAAUAAACGGUCGGGAAUGGUU
Leopardus geoffroyi (Geoffroy's cat) is the source of this 2405-nucleotide long non-coding RNA. RefSeq lists it as uncharacterized. The record is from RefSeq and is a predicted model, not a curated record. The transcript is spliced from 2 exons. NCBI's taxonomy places the organism in Eukaryota, Metazoa, Chordata, Mammalia, Carnivora, Felidae.